CGGGAGUAUUUUAAGUAUUUCAGCUUCUCAGAGAGAGGUAUGAAUUUCUUCGUCUUUCAUUGUUAGAACGAAGAAACGAAUUCACGUCUUCUCUGGCCUAACUCUGGUAAUAUUUUGCUUGAAAAAAAUUGUCUUGUACGUUGUAUCAUUAAACGUUUACUGCAAUCGCGUAUUGUUGGUCGCCAAGCUUGAGAUUCAAGCCGGUGCAUUGCAAGUAUAAUGGCGAUUUGAAAUGGAUUUGUCUUUGAUUUGAUUUUGUGGAAUCGAAGAGUUGGACUACUCUGGUUUCUUCCACCGCUUGAUUUGCUACGUGUAAUUCUUAGCUUACUAGGGAUUUAAAUCUAAUGUAUUUGAACACUAAUUCUCAUUGUGCUAAAAUGUGUGUUUUUGGUUAUCUGGAAGCUAAUACAGGGGUCUUGCUAGUUACAAAACUUCUCUCUCUUUCCCUACACAUCUCUUGUACAUCCUGUUCAAGUGAAAAAUUUAUGUACAAAUUCACUCAUGACUGAAGUCUGUAGUGAUUUUAACUUCUUAAUAAACAGUAUAUCUCAGUUAUAUGUAGAAUUUGUUUUGUUAUUCUGAGUUAUAAAUAAUUUUUUUUGGCUACUAACAAUCUAGCAGUGCCGUUCUUGGAACCCUUAUCAAAAUUGUAAAGGCCUGGCAAGGGAGCCAUACUGGGGCAGACAUAAGGAAGGAACACAGAAGCUUGUGUCCAAGUCUUUAAGAUUAUUUUAAGAUUGUCUUUGUCAAUAAGAAUGGUGGCUGCUGCUGUGAAAAAUCAGCUUACUGUUCGUUUUUGUGAAAGAUUGAAAAUUCCUCAAGAGUCAGAAGAUACAAGAGUUCUUUUGUGUCUUGUUUGGAGGUUUUGAAGCUACACUAACAUAUUUUACAUUUGAAAACUCAAUAUUCUAAACCAUAAUUUCAAGUAAUAUCUUAUAAUCAUGUGCGAAAUUCAUGACCCUGUUUGGACCAUUGUGAUAGUUGAGUGCUAAGUUUAUCCUCUUGGCUGUUUUCUUGCUUGCUAGAACUUAAGAGUGAUCGCAAUUGUAUGACUUUUGCAAAGAAUAAUAAGAUAAUAUAACUUGUUAAAUACUUAAUUAGUUGGGUGAUUAAAUAUGUUAAAAACUAAACUGAUAGAAAACUGCCGCACUUUAUUAUUUAUAUUUUUAAUAUAUCCCCAUGCAUGUAAGUGAGACAACAGAUUUAGUAUGUGAACACAAACUCAAAUUGACGAGUCGAAUAAGCACAUAUAUAACAGGUUUUGGGUAGAGUCACAAACGAGUCUGAAAUUUAUUUCUCUACUCCAUUGUUAUGUUAGAUAAUUGAUUGCCUCAUUAAUUAUUUUAAAGUUUUAAGUUAAUAGAAAAAGACUUUAACUUUAUUGUUUAUGUUCUAAUAGACAUAAUAACCAGUUAGAAUAUUACUGUUUGCGAUAUUUCAGAAUAGAUAGUCUAUUUACUAAGUCCUCCAUGGAAUUUUACUGUUCUCUUCAUUGUGCUUGUUGAUGUGAAAAUUUCAAUGGAUGAAAUAUUUCUUAACAUGUGUCAUCUGUCCAUAGAAUUAUAGUUUCAAUCUCAAAUGAGUACAUGGUGCUGGACAUUUUUCUUUCCUUCACUUGAUUUUACUCCAUGCAUAUUAAGGCAUGAGUAGUGAUAACUGCUGAUAAAUUUCAAAUUAUAUAUCCAAUUGGCAAUAAGUCGCUCAAAUCUUAUUCUUUCUGGUCCUUAUCCUCAGCAAUAAAAUCUCAGUGCAUGUCUCAUUAGAAGUUAGCUCCUAAAAAGUUGUUCAAUGUGUCAUAUGAGUCCCCGGGAAAGAGGGGUCCAAGAUAAAAAAUUGAUUUUGAGGGAUCUGAACGCUCGUGUUAAGUGUCCGAUAUUCAUUUGAUGAAAUAUUGGAAGAUCAAUUCCAUGUUGACCCUUGUUAGCUAUUGUAUCUUCUCAACUUCUGAUUUGUUUUCAAAUCAAUAGUUCUUCUGCAAUGCUGUAAUUGGUACUUGAAAAAUGGACUGUAGUACUAAUAUUUUGAUCAAAUCAACUCUAUUCUCACUCUUUCUAGAUUCUAAUUCUUUUUUUUUUAGUUAUAUAAAAUAAUAAUAGACAUUUCAUGUAUAAUUAAAUUAAUUUCUCUUCUAUCAUAAAUUUCAGAAUCAUAUAUUUUUUAUUCUCACUUGUUAAGGAAAAAAUUAUACAGAAUAUCUAAUUUUAAUUGGAUAUAGAACUAUCUAGGAAUUGCACUGUUGUUUUUGUUCAAAUUUCUAUCAUGCUUCAAGUGUAUUUCAGGGAUCCAUGUUCUGUGAAUACCACAAGAUAGCUUUUAACCAGUGCAGUGCGGCAGUCUGGCUACUGUCAUUAGUCAGCUCCAUUUAUCAUAUUCUGCAUGUGAGUAAUAUAAUAUAACAUUCCCCUUUGGGUGAAAUUUCGUUUGACAUGAAUAGAUAGUGGAUUUGCCCUCAGCUUCCAUUGGUUCAAUGGUAUGUGGAUGAAAAAUACUUUGUUUAAUGUGUGGUUUCUAUAUUUUCCAAUGCAGGAUGCAUGUUUUGAAUUUAUGGCAUCUUCCUUGUCAUUGGUGGUAAUUACCUUUAUUAUUCAAGAUUUUUGUGUGGUCAGUGUUGCAUUUUACGGGAUUAAUUUUGUUAAUGGGUACUUUUUGACACAGUAUUUCUUAUAGGAAUUAGUAUUUUUCAGUAUGAUAUUAUAUUGAUAUCGUGAAGCAGGUGGACAGAGCAUUGUUAUUAGAAUUGGUGAUUUCUGAAUAAAUAAGAAGCAAAGAAAAGCUUCUGUUAGUUGACCAAGCUGAUUGGGUGGGGGCGGCAGCCGCCCGUUCAUUACUGGUUGAUUGGUUAUAACUUUUGAGACUGUUGACUUGUUUCUUACAUUGUUGACUGAGCUGCGAUUUUAUGGAGUUAAGGAAUUCUUCCAUUUCCUGAAAUUUUAACUGAAUCGUGAUUUGAAUCCUUUUUUAAUGGAUGAGGAGGUGUAAAAAAUGAAACAAGUCAUAAUUUCUUUUACUUAUAAAAAUUUACAACUAAUCCUAGAAUUCUUUUGACCUAUGCUAAUCUUUGCAGCACAGUGAUGAACACCAGGUAGCAUGAAGUAGAACUAGUAAGAUGUAUUUACUCAACUAAUUAAUUCACCUAUAGUCGCGUAUCAAACCUUCAGGUUGUAGUGGUGCUAUGUGCAAAAUAGUCUCUGCUGCUGGUUGAGGUGGUGGUUGCGAUGUGGUAACCUUGCUACAACCAACAAUCUUCUGGCAGGUCUGGAGGAGGCAGUUUCUGCAGGUAGGGCAGGAGGAAUGCGAGUUUAGCCACUUAUCAAUGCAGCGGACGUGGAAUCCAUGGUUACACUUGGGCAGAAGCCUCAAGUGCUCGCCGGAUGCAAACUCAGAGAGGCAAAUGGCACACUUGUUGUCCAGCUUCACUCUGCUGAGUAGUUUACAGUUGGGAAAGUCUUUAAAGCCUUUUUCUUGAUCCCAGUGUUGGCUAAACGAGCUGAGGGGUUGCCACUCGUCUCAGAAGCCACUAAGCUUGAACAUCUUAAUGCACACUUUAUGAUGGAGUUAAGUCCCAGGGAGCAAAUUAGAGCACAAAGGAGGACUGAGAGAACCAUAACAACAUUAGCGUCAAAGCCAUUGCUGGCACCAUAGGGAUCAGAUGGGUCAUGGCUGUUACUGGGGGGAGGAGCUGCUGCUGUUGGUAGAUGCUGAAGGUUUUGUGGUAGUAAUCUUCGGGAGUAAAAUACUGGAUGUUGGAAUAGUUGAGUGGAUAUAGAAGAGGAAGCAGACAUGGUUUAGAGAGUUUUGAUAGUUGAGAUAACUUCUUGCUGCUUGCUGCAUAAGAGGGAUGACAUAAAUAUAUAGGGUUGAAGUUUCUUCUAUCGAGCAUUAUGUUAUAUUAUAUUAUAUAUAUAAAUAUUAUAAAAAGAUUAUUCACAUGUGAAAUGUAGUUAAGAGAAUAUGCGAAGGUUUUUUUUUUAGCCCCACAUACAGGUUUAAUCUUUUGAUUUUAUUUUUGCAGGUUUUGGAAUCAUACGGACACAUUCCACUGAGCUUUACAUAUUUUAAUUGGCGUCCCAGUGAGGAUUGGUGGCUUGUGUGAAAGUGACACGUGGUGGCUAUCUUGGCAAAUUGCAUCUGUAAAUGCUGCUGGGGACCCAGUGGCCUGAGAAGCAGCCAUGAAGGUUCCGAUAAUACGUUUGUGGAGAUGUAAUUUUAGAGGGAUGGGCAUCUCUUUUGAUCUCUUCUUUUUCUAAAUUUUUUGUUUUCAUAUAUGCAGCUUAAAGUGAUAGACAUGCCAGAUCUUUUUUGAGUCAGACUCAACUCAACGUGAUUUUCCCUGUGAGUUAUUGCUCUUUCAUUUCAUGUUAGUGCUUGCAACUUCUAGUCCGUUUUCAGCUUGUUCAAUUUUCUGUUGCAUGACAAGUUAUUGCAGGGUCCCAUAUAAAGGAACGAGAUUGAUUGGUACUACUCGUAUAUAUAAAUGUUUUUGAUAUAAUUUUUGUUCCAACUAAAUUAGAAUGUUCCCACUAAUUUUAAUUAAAGUUUAUUAAUAAUAACUUCAAUAAUUAAAAAGGAAAUUAGCUAACACCAAUUAAUCUUGAAAAACUGUAAGCCACUUUGGUUUUAAGCCUAUCUGUCAUUCUCAGUUACUAUUAACUCUCAUAUUCGUAUCUUUAGUACACAAUACAACACAGCCAUCUGCAGCUGCCUGCUCCUUUUCAUUUUUGAACCUGUCAAUGACCGUGAAAUUAACAUUAAAGAAAGCCAUUUCCCUCUCCCUUUUAGAUCUCUUAUUUUGUUUUCUUUGCACGCCGUGAUCUUUUCCUGAUUGCAAAUCUAAGUAUAAUCCAAAUAAAUUAAUUAAUAUGCUCCUCUCCUUCUGCCUCCAAAUUAACUAAUUUUCUUUUCCAGAUAGUUUGUUGUUUAAUUGGAAUCUUUUUGCUUUUAUGAAAAAUCAUAAGGGUACUCUUUUUUUAAUGAAAUAUCAAGUGGGUGCUUUUUUUCUUUCUUUUUUUUAAAUAUUAAAUGGGUUCUUCAUGGUAAUGUGGAAAGAAUUACGAGGUUGAUUUCUUGAUCUACUUUUGUGUCCUGUAGUUUUGCCUUCAAAACCCACCUGUACAACAUGUACAAAAAGUUGAGACAGCAAGUUCAUAAUAAUAUAGGUACUGUUUUUAUUUUCAGAGAAUUAAUUAAGUUUAAUAAGAUCUCAGAGGGAGUUUGCUCCUUUUUUUUUUUUAAAAAAAAAAAAUUAUAAAAUUAAAAAAAUGCUUCACUUUAUGGUUUUGCGCUAAGUGUCGGUUGAAAUUUGUAUCUUCUUGGUAAGCUGGAUUUCACUAUAUAAUUGUUGUGUCUUUAUAUGCUGAUCUGGGAUAAAUAAAGAAUAUUCCUUGUUGUAGAAUAUCAUACAAAUAUGAAUGUCGUGCAUGUGCGAUACUCCCAUUGAGGUUGUUGUUCAUCACUUAAAUUUACUUAUGAUUAUAUUCUCAUGAUUAAGGACUUAGAAAAUUGGAAGGAUAGAGCACUAUAAAAGCAAUCUAUUCCUACUUUAGAUAUUUACGCUGUUUAAUUUCAUUUCCAUUUUAUUUCUAGUAAUUUUUGAUUAUAAAUUAUAUCAAAUAUGUAUAGCUUUUACUAAAUUAAAUAUUAGUAUUUACUGUACAGAACAUGUAUUCUCAAAAGAGCCGCAAGUGAAACAAUAUUCUUCAUAUGUAUUAUUAUCAACACUAUUUUUUUUUUUUUUAAUUUUUAUUGUCCUUCAAAGUUCUACUUAUCGAGAGUGUGAGUUAUUAUUGAAUCCUGCUCGCACAUUAAAAGAGAGAGAGAAAAGAAAAACCUUUUGCUCCCAUUAUGAAAUCCACGCUGCCUCCUUUAGAACAAAAGAAAAAGAAUGAUAAGGGUACAUCACCACCAAUUCUCCAUUGUACAUCAUUACAGUGCUCGAGAUGAAAAUAACUGAAAGCUGUAACUCAAGAGACAUGGGAGUGCAUUAUGAGAAUUAGCAAAAAGGUUGAAUAUCUGCUUCACAAGAACAUUAUGAAAUGCUUUUUAGAGGUAGUGAAAAAUAAUUGAAAGAAACUUUAUGAAAAGCAAAUUUCCUUACAUAAUAAAAGCUUUUUAUGGAUAACUUGUCCAAACAUAUGGUGAAAAAUGUGCUUAUAUCUGUGUGGAAAUCCUGCAGAAAAUGUGGAAGCAGCAUCUUUUCUCUGGAUAAAGAAGCAUAUUGGUGUACACUGGCAGGUAGCUAAUGACUCUGAAUUGUUUAACAUUAAGGUUUAAACAGACAGAAAGAAGUUUUAGGAAAAGUAAUGAUGAGAAGUUAGUAAAGAGAGAAAUUCUUAUCAAAUUAGUAUUGAUGGAUGGUGGGAGUUGUAAAGUGGUCAGGGUAAAGAUAUACCUAAAACACAAAGGCUAGAUACAUAGCAUAUAACAGCAAUAAAGAUCAGUAGCUGAAACUUUUGUGUGACGUGAAAUAGGCUUGCUCUCAAUUAUUGUAACCAAUUGUUGAUAUCCAAAAGAAUACAAAGGAAAAGAAUAUAGGACAACAGAAAGUAGCUUUUCUAGUGUACUGCUUCACAUCAUUGCUGCAUGUUACUUGAUCCGGAUUGGAGUUUUCUACAAGCAGCCUAAAGGGUUAGCAUUUACUAUUGCUCCUUGUUUGGAUAUAUUAACAAAGUUCAUUUUUUUUUGGGUGAUGAGGAAUCUUCUUCCGUUCUUUUGAUGUUAAAACACAAUCUUGAUUUUUGAGGUGCCUUCUUUAAUUCUCCAUUGAACAUUGAAGUUCAAACACCUAUCAAAAGUAUUAUUAAUAUGUGACUUGUAUAGUAUAUCUUGGACUAUCACAAUCUUCAUCUCUUAAACUUUGAUGUUCUGAUCAAGCAAUUCCUAUAAGAUCCAAGAUCUUUAGUGCUACAAGUUGUAAUGCUUGCUUCCAAUAAUUACUGAUUUAAUAACUUUUUAAAUUCAAAUAACUGAUUUUCAGAAAGUAAAAUUUAAACUAUCAGUAGUGUAUGAUUUGAACAUAUAUAUGAAGUUCAAUAAUAACAUAUAUUUCUGAUGUGAGAUUAGGGUACCUCAGGAAUUUUGUCAAACAUCCUUCAAUUACUUUUGAUACUGAUUUUUACAAAGACAAAAGAUAUACAAGGGUUUCAUCCAUCUUUUUUGUUUUCCGUGCCUUGUCAACAAUAUUAAUCUAGCUAAGGAAAGGUUCAUAAUUGAUUGAAGUAUUUUGUCUGCAUAGCAAUUUCAAGUACUGCUCAUGGAUGGAGCAUUGGAAUUUUGUAUUUGAAUAAUACAUACCUUUUAGUAAUGGUCUCCUCAAGCAUUAGUCUUCCCAGGAAAUUCUAGACACUAAUUAUGAUAUUGGGCGGCUCAACUUUUUUGAUCCAACUAAUUACAUAGUUUUGUUUAAUGGAUUUCCAAUAGAAAUUCAAAGUCAAAUGAGACAUAAAUAAAUUCAUUUUCCAACUUUGUUGGCAAGUCAGGUGGUGCUAUUCGAAGGAACUAUAGGGAGAGAAUAUAAAAUUAUAGUGCAUGUUAGCAAAGAAGCAACCUGAACUGGAGUUGAAAGUGCAAUAAAUGGAAACAGAGGAUAAGUGGAGACCCGAGGUCAUUGCACUUAGUAUGAAAUUAGUUAAAAUAAUCAUUAUAUUGUGGCUAAACAUUGCAUGUAACUUUAUUAUACAUGGAUCCGCAUAAUGGAGAGGUAGGAUAAGUUACGAAUUUUUGACAAGUAAUGAAGCAAUUCCUCCAAAGCAAAAAUUUUUAUAAUCCCCUGAAUUAGUUUUGCUACACACACACACCUUCAGAAAAUCUUUUCUUCUUUGUUUGUAGAAGUUUAUCUAAUCUAUGAGUUACAUGAGUGGAGAUAUUUCUGUAUUCUAUAGAAGCCUUUUUUAACAGAGCAUAUAAAGUUAACACCGAGUGGAGAUAUUCUGUAUAAUCUGGGCUUCGAGUGAUAAGUUGAGCUUAGCCCCGUCUUUGUAUCCAAACCCCAGUAUUCUUCCUUUAGCUUGAUUUUCCUUUAUAAACGUAUGUAUUGGAUGUUUUUGUUGACUUAAAAUAGUGCAAAAUAUAUAAGCAUUCAAAUUUCUUACCUUUAACUUUUAGACCUUGUGACCGUACUGUUCUCUAGAGAUAAACGUUCCGCAUUCUAAAUCUGAAGAUUGUUUAUUUUUCCAACCUCUUGGUUUAUGCUUAUUCUGAUAAGAGGAAAGCACGCACUUAUAUUUGUAUCUUAAAUGUUCAAUCUUCUUGAAGGUGUGACAUAUACAGAAAAAAUUAAGCUUGAAAGUAUGGUUAAUUUUCUCAUAAUAUCUGAAAAGUAACAGUCCUUCCAAAUUUUAUUGGCUCGGAAAUAUCUGAACCAUUUAGAUUUUUCUUUAAAAGGGUUCUCUAGAUAUUCCACAUUCAAGAGCUGCUUCAUUGAAAUGUCUUUUUCUAAUUCCUUGGUUGCAACGUGUUCAAAGUUGAUCUGUGUGCGUGUGUGUGCCGGGUCUUUUUCUUGACUGCACAAUGUCAGAUUUAGGAUUUUGUGCACCAAUUAAGAAUCACAUUCAAGUGGAGCAAAAGAGAAUAAGCCCUUGAUCAAGUCAAACAACAACUUAUAGCAGUGCCUCAGUAGGAGACCACUGCUGUGUGGCAGUUACUUUUCAUGCUUGUAUUAAUCAAGUUAAAAAGCAAGAGAAUUACCCUUGAAACUCAUCUGGGUUGAGGUUUAUAUUUGAUCGACGUACUAUCUAAUAGGGUCAAAGGUAGAAUAUACGGUAAGGUGAUACCAUAUUAGAUUUUAUCAUAAAAUCUAAAAGUUAGAUUUGGUUCUUUAAGAAUAAAUAAAUUGCCCCUGGAGCAAAACAAAAGCAUGUCAAUCCUACCUGUAAGCCACAAUUUUCUGAUACAAACCAAUAAGCUUAGGCUUAAAGAGGUGCUUUUUAAAUUAAUUAAUCUCAUUUUAAGCUACUCAAAUGAAGCCUUUAUUUCCACCCUAUCAAUAAGCAGCCAAUAGAAAUAGACAAACAGUAAAAAAAAAAAGGAAAAGGUAUAUGGUCCCCCUUGUGAAUCAUUCUUUUCAUCAAACCAGGCUGUGUUCUUUCUGCCAAGCAAAUAUUCAAGAUAAUCCAUCUGCUGUACAUACAUACUUAGCUUUUGCUUGUGGUUCCUAAUUAAAGCAGCAUUAUAUAUUUGAUCAAGUGACAUCAAAGUAUCAACUCACUGAUUUUCACAAGUAAUUAAGAGUUAAAAAGAUAGAUAUCAAUCUUUUUGGAUUCUAACUAAAGUUACUACUAAAGUACUAAUUGGCUUCUGAGAACUAAUACAUCGGAUAAAGAUUUGGAGAAAGCAUUGAAAAAGAAGAAUUUGUCAUCAAAUUAAGCAACUGGGUCUGCAUGCAUGUUUUAAAAAAAUCCAGCACUGCUAAAUUUGUCUUAUAUAUUUAUUUAUAAUUGCAAGAGAUUAGACAAGUUAUGCUUAAUUGAUGGUUUGAUCCUUAUCCUUUUGACUAAAGAAUGUUUCCUACAACUGUGUAAUGAGAAUAUGCUAUAGGAAAUUAUGAAAUCCACUUAUGAAAAAUCUUGCUGUAGAUAUUCAUUUAUGUCGAUAAGGUGUUGUGGUUUAAAUUUUAUUGUAUGGUAAAUUUUCAUAGAAAAUUUAUGGUUAGUAUAAUUUGGAUUAUCUAUGGAAAAGAUGUUUAGAAGAUUUGCAUGAAUUAUGAAGUGACAACACUCGGCUAAGGACAUUAAAGAGAGUGAAGAAAAUAAACAAAGCCUAAAUAGCCAUUCCACUCAUAGAACAGGGGAUGCUCACUGUUUGCUACCUAAUUUCUUUUUCAGUCUUAUUUUGGUAUAAAAAUUAUAUUUAAUCCCUGUUUUUUAAUUGUGGGUUUAUUUCGAUAGUUACUUCAAAAUAAUAUCAUACCCUGUUAAGACCUGUCUUAGUUUUACAUUUAUUAGUUAAAAUUUAUACAUCGGAAUAACUAACUAUAUAACUUUCUGCAGAAUUAGUAUCAAUACAAUCAAUUUUUUAAUAAAGAAACAACACAGUUAUAUAUAUAUAUAUAUAAAACAUACAGUUAAACUCGAACCCUUUUAACUGUUACUUAGAUAUUAUUUUACCUCUCUUGUAAUAGUAGACCCAAAUGAUCGAACUAAGUAAUUGUUUUCUGAAAAGUGUGAUUAAUUAACUUAGUGAUACAAUAUGACCUUUAAGACAUGUUGGAUAAAAUUGAGAAAACCAAUAAUUAAGCUUUGAUAUUUACAUAGACUAUACAUAUGUUAGUGGAUUAGAAUUUGAUAAUCAAGAAUGAAUUAUCAUUGAAAAUUUAAUUAUAUUUCCUAUUUUUCUAUACACUUGCAGUUUCCCAUCUCUUCAGCAGUCAACAAAUCAAACACCUCAAAACUCUUGACUAAAUUUUCUGUGUUGCCACUCCCCAAUCUCUCCUGCUCCACCG
RNAcentral lists this long non-coding RNA (10435 nucleotides) under Carica papaya (papaya). Its description in RNAcentral is "long non-coding RNA (CPAP_LNC009233)". Lineage: Eukaryota; Viridiplantae; Streptophyta; Magnoliopsida; Brassicales; Caricaceae. The record is from RNAcentral.